Non-coding RNA from Cherax quadricarinatus, 404 nucleotides. The record is from RefSeq and is a predicted model, not a curated record. Lineage: Eukaryota; Metazoa; Arthropoda; Malacostraca; Decapoda; Parastacidae.
GUGGGGGUAUACUGUAGUUUUGGGGUGCUUGGUUUUUUUUUUUUAUUUUUUUUUUUCAACAGGCCAUCUCCCACCAAGGCAGGGUGAGCCAAAAAAAAAAAGAAGAAACAUUUUCACAAUCACUAUCUUCCCAGAGGUGUGCCACUACAAUAGUUAACAUCUGCAAAUAUCCCCACCCCCUCCAGAGUGCAGGCACUGUACUUAGGUCGAGCUGUUGCCAAUGUGAUCCGUGGAGUGAUUUUGCAGAGAGUCCCAGCCUGAUAAAGAUAUCUCCAGCUGCUGUUAAAACCCACAUGGCUUCUGGACGCUGACUCACACUCACAAUGCACUCAUUUUUUGAACAGGCAGUGUUGGGGUUAACAACAAACAGUUGUCCAAGAGGAGAGAGACAACAAAUGGCAACC